Molecule: ribosomal RNA, 327 nt
Filed under: Babesia caballi
Lineage: Eukaryota; Apicomplexa; Aconoidasida; Piroplasmida; Babesiidae
Description: SSU rRNA
Rfam family: Eukaryotic small subunit ribosomal RNA
Source: RNAcentral
UUAACCCUCGCCAGAGUAACAAUUGGAGGGCAAGUCUGGUGCCAGCAGCCGCGGUAAUUCCAGCUCCAAUAGCGUAUAUUAAACUUGUUGCAGUUAAAAAGCUCGUAGUUGAACUUUUGCGUUGUCCUUUUCCUGCUUUGUGCGGGUUAUUGACUUCGCUUUUUCUUUUUACUUUGAGAAAAUUAGAGUGUUUAUCGCAGACUUUUGUCUUGAAUACUUCAGCAUGGAAUAAUAGAGUAGGACUUUGGUUCUAUUUUGUUGGUUUUGGAACCUUGGUAAUGGUUAAUAGGAACGGUUGGGGGCAUUCGUAUUUAACUGUCAGAGGUG